GACGAACGCUGGCGGCGUGCUUAACACAUGCAAGUCGAACGGAAAGGCCCUGCUUUUGUGGGGUGCUCGAGUGGCGAACGGGUGAGUAACACGUGAGUAACCUGCCCUUGACUUUGGGAUAACUUCAGGAAACUGGGGCUAAUACCGGAUAGGAGCUCCUGCUGCAUGGUGGGGGUUGGAAAGUUUCGGCGGUUGGGGAUGGACUCGCGGCUUAUCAGCUUGUUGGUGGGGUAGUGGCUUACCAAGGCUUUGACGGGUAGCCGGCCUGAGAGGGUGACCGGCCACAUUGGGACUGAGAUACGGCCCAGACUCCUACGGGAGGCAGCAGUGGGGAAUAUUGCACAAUGGGCGGAAGCCUGAUGCAGCAACGCCGCGUGCGGGAUGACGGCCUUAGGGUUGUAAAGCUCUUUUACCCGGGAUGAUAAUGACAGUACCGGGAGAAUAAGCUCCGGCUAACUCCGUG
This 463-nucleotide ribosomal RNA is filed under the name uncultured bacterium. RNAcentral's name for it is "partial 16S ribosomal RNA". It matches the Rfam family "Bacterial small subunit ribosomal RNA", at positions 28 to 507 of the family's 1533-position model. The record is from RNAcentral.